Molecule: long non-coding RNA, 2665 nt
Organism: Thamnophis elegans (Western terrestrial garter snake)
Lineage: Eukaryota; Metazoa; Chordata; Lepidosauria; Squamata; Natricidae
Exons: 3
Source: RefSeq, a predicted model, not a curated record
AGUGAUACUGAAGACUGGCAAGAACAGUCAUCUUCCUUCUGAGAUUUAAAACUGCCUUAGGGCUUCAUCUCAACUUGCCUGCUGGCCUCAGGCCCAUGAGUUCGCUCCAGGACAUCUCUCAACCUCCACAAGCGCAGCGCUGACUCGUUAGUUCCUGAGCUACGACUCAGAGGCCUUUCCAGUGCAGCGCUCUUGGAUUUGGGCCAUUGAAGCAGUCACCACCUCAGCACCUUGCAGAUUGCCGUGGAGCACUCUGGAGAGCGUCAGAAGAAGCGGCCACCAUUUGGGGCUCUGCUUGAGAAAAAAGCAUGCGAAAGAGCAUGGUCGCCAUUUUGCGACUAGGAGAAAGCUCACGAAGCACCAAUGGCCACCAGCUAAAACACCUGGCACUGCAGAGUCAACAGAGGUCCUAGAAACACUCCAGGCUGCACCAGCAUUACUUCUAUCAUCUGCGCUUCUUCUCCACAGGCAGCUGAGGCCAGCUACCACCAGCACUCCGUUCACUGAAUCUACAGUGGAAAAGGAGGUUAUUCUUUCUCCUAAAAUCUUCAUGAAUGUGAUCCAAAAGCAGUGGGAUUCCCCUGGAACAAGUCCACAACUACCAAUUUAGACAAACAUCUCUACAACGUCACUCCAGAAUUUACCAAAUUUCUCAAGACUCCUCCAGUGGAUGUGCCAGUUGCAGCAUUGUUUUCUCCUACAGUGGUCUCUGGAGCCCCUGAAGAAGUCCUCAAGCAUGAGGAGAAAAGGUCAGAUCAAAUCUUAGUCAAAAGUUACCAGUCAGGUGCCUGGGCAGUUAGGACCUCCACAGCUGCUUCUUUUUUCCCCAGGGCCACUCUAGUCUGGAUUGAGCAGCUCCAGGAGCAUAUUGCAACCAGUAACACUAGGUCACACAGGGAUUUAAACAAAAUUAGGGCAGCUGUUGAAUAUGUGGUGGAUAUUUCCCUCAACGCUGCUAGGUUCGUUUCUAAAGCCAUGGCCUCUUCAGUCAUGGCCAGGCACCUGCUAUGGCUCAAACCAUGGUAGCGGAAGUCCGUACCAAAUGGCGCCUCGCAGCCUCCCCUUUCAGUGGCACUCAGCUCUUGGAACUCCUUUGGAUCCAUACCUCACAGAAUCUAAGACAAACACAAAGUUCCUUUCCUCUAUCUAUAAUAGCAGGACAGUCAUCCCAUCCCUUUCUACAGGAGGUCACCCUUUCGGCCAGCGGACAGAGAUCCUCCUUCUCUUAUCUGCAUCACCAGUCCUUCACCCUCAGAAGAGAUCUAAUCAGGACAGAUCUAACCGAAAUGCCCAGCGUUUCCCCCCAAAGAAGUCUUACCGGAGGAAGGGGAAUCACCAUUUCUCAUGAUGAAAGUGACUAUCUGGACUCUCUUCCAAUCGGGGGUCACUUAGCAUUUUUGCCCACUGCUGGGAGGAGACCAUGACAGACAAUUGGGUAAUCAAAAUGAUCAAAUUCGGUCUUAUGCUGGAAUUCCUCUCCUCCAUCACCCCACCCCUCAGGAACACUGUCUCUCCCCAGGGCACCCCCCCCCCGGAGCCCUGUCUCUCAGUGCCCUUGCAAGAGGCUUCUGAUGGAGCAGGUCAUUCAGCAUCUGCUGGAGAUUCAGGCCAUCCAACCGGUCCCCCCUCAACCGAAAGGGCAGGGUUUUUAAUCCUACCUCUAUGUGGUACCAAAGGCUUCCCGGCGAUGGAGAGCAAUCCUGGAUCUAAAGUCAUUGAUCCACCACAUCGUUUAAGUGCUCGAUUGAAGUUAUUGCUUCAAAAUAUUACAUUAGGAAUGCCCAUAACACUGUCCCAUGCCAUUUUCAUUUCAUUCCUAAAUGCUUUUGUUGCAUCUAAAUGUCGCCUUCAUCCUGUGUUUUUUUUUAAAAAGAAUAGUAAACUUCCUGAGUUGAAUUUGAAUCAUGUUGACCACUUGGAUUCAUGCAUGCAGUUUUCUUUUUAACCAUAUGGAAUUGAUUUGUCAUUGUUUCUUCUGGGGUGGUUUCGUCAACUACAAUAACUAGUCUAGCCUACAACCUUAAAUGUAGAUUGGUUAGACUAAAAAAGUUUUUUUUAACUAUCACGGAAUCUCUGGUUAUCUGGCAGUUAAUAUAAUCCACAUGGCAAAUAUGUGAUAAGAUUACAGUAUCUUUUCCCAAUGUAGUACCUUACAGCUCUUAGUGCUAGCCAUGGAUGGAAGUUACAAUCAACACUCCGCAUUGAAAAAGGCAGGGUAGAAUGAAAAACAAUUUAAUGAAAAGGUGGAAAUGUUAAAGACUGAUUAAUGCAAUGGUAAUUUUCUUUUCAGAUUCCCUGGAAGAGUCCCUCCAUCAUAAUUAUCAUCCAAAGUAAUCACCUGAGCAUUAAUACAUAAAGAACAUAAUUUCCAUUAGAUCUGGGAAUCAGUAUGUGUCAGGCCUGUACCUUCCAUGUUCACCAAAAUAUGAUGUGAAACUGCCAAACCAUAUGAGAUUGUUUAUUUCUGCUUAACAUUUCAGCUAUUUGAAGUUUUUGUAGUGUCCGCUGGAAGCUUCCAGGUUUUAUUAGCAUCUUCUGGCACACCAUUGCCUAACUCUGUUAAGUAGUUAGUAAAGGUAUUGUUCAUUGUAAUUAUAUUGCUUCUUAUAUUUUAAUUUGGCAUAUGGUGUCAUUUCAAUAAAACAUUUGUAUUCACUUCCAUUUA